RNAcentral lists this ribosomal RNA (468 nucleotides) under uncultured bacterium. RNAcentral's name for it is "partial 16S ribosomal RNA". It matches the Rfam family "Bacterial small subunit ribosomal RNA", at positions 28 to 507 of the family's 1533-position model. The record is from RNAcentral.
GACGAACGCUGGCGGCGUGCUUAACACAUGCAAGUCGAACGGAAAGGCCCUGCUUUUGUGGGGUGCUCGAGUGGCGAACGGGUGAGUAACACGUGAGUCACCUGCCCUUGACUUUGGGAUAACUUCAGGAAACUGGGGCUAAUACCGGAUAGGAGCUCCUGCUGCAUGGUGGGGGUUGGAAAGUUUCGGCGGUUGGGGAUGGACUCGCGGCUUAUCAGCUUGUUGGUGGGGUAGUGGCUUACCAAGGCUUUGACGGGUAGCCGGCCUGAGAGGGUGACCGGGCACAUUGGGACUGAGAUACGGCCCAGACUCCUACGGGAGGCAGCAGGGGGGAAUAUUGCACAAUGGGCGGAAGCCUGAUGCAGCAACGCCGCGUGCGGGAUGACGGCCUUCGGGUGGUAAACCGCUUUCGCCUGUGACGAAGCGUGAGUGACGGUAAUGGGUAAAGAAGCACCGGCUAACUACGUG